This is a transfer RNA of Ovis aries (sheep), 61 nucleotides long. It matches the Rfam family "tRNA". Rfam says of the family: Transfer RNA (tRNA) molecules are approximately 80 nucleotides in length. Their secondary structure includes four short double-helical elements and three loops (D, anti-codon, and T loops). NCBI's taxonomy places the organism in Eukaryota, Metazoa, Chordata, Mammalia, Artiodactyla, Bovidae. The record is from Rfam.
GACUUUAAAUGGUAAAGAAUCUGCCUGUAAUGCAGGAGACCCAGGUUCUAACCCUGAGUCA